Gopherus evgoodei (Goodes thornscrub tortoise) is the source of this 112-nucleotide long non-coding RNA. RefSeq lists it as uncharacterized. Lineage: Eukaryota; Metazoa; Chordata; Testudines; Testudinidae. The transcript is spliced from 3 exons. The record is from RefSeq and is a predicted model, not a curated record.
CUGAGAUUAUAGACCAGUGGUCCCCAACCUCUUUUGGUGUGGCAGGCGCCAGACGAUGAGCCACGGAGGACCGUGGCAGCAGACGAGCAUCCACUGAAAUGCUGCUGACAAG